RNAcentral lists this ribosomal RNA (474 nucleotides) under uncultured organism. RNAcentral's name for it is "partial 16S ribosomal RNA". It matches the Rfam family "Bacterial small subunit ribosomal RNA", at positions 333 to 798 of the family's 1533-position model. The record is from RNAcentral.
ACACUCCUACGGGAGGCAGCAGUGGGGAAUUUUGGACAAUGGGCGAAAGCCUGAUCCAGCAAUGCCGCGUGUGUGAAGAAGGCCUUCGGGUUGUAAAGCACUUUUGUCCGGAAAGAAAUCCUUGGCUCUAAUACAGUCGGGGGAUGACGGUACCGGAAGAAUAAGCACCGGCUAACUACGUGCCAGCAGCCGCGGUAAUACGUAGGGUGCGAGCGUUAAUCGGAAUUACUGGGCGUAAAGCGUGCGCAGGCGGUUUGCUAAGACCGAUGUGAAAUCCCCGGGCUCAACCUGGGAACUGCAUUGGUGACUGGCAGGCUAGAGUAUGGCAGAGGGGGGUAGAAUUCCACGUGUAGCAGUGAAAUGCGUACAGAUGUGGAGGAAUACCGAUGGCGAAGGCAGCCCCCUGGGCCAAUACUGACGCUCAUGCACGAAAGCGUGGGGAGCAAACAGGAUUAGAUACCCGUGUAGUCCCAU